This 500-nucleotide ribosomal RNA is filed under the name uncultured bacterium. RNAcentral's name for it is "partial 16S ribosomal RNA". It matches the Rfam family "Bacterial small subunit ribosomal RNA", at positions 30 to 523 of the family's 1533-position model. The record is from RNAcentral.
AUUGAACGCUGGCGGCAUGCCUUACACAUGCAAGUCGAACGGCAGCACGGGUGCUUGCACCUGGUGGCGAGUGGCGAACGGGUGAGUAAUAUAUCGGAACGUACCUUAUCGUGGGGAUAACGCAGCGAAAGCUGUGCUAAUACCGCAUAAGCCCUAAGGGGGAAAGCAGGGGACCGUAAGGCCUUGCGCGAUUAGAGCGGCCGAUACCUGAUUAGCUAGUUGGUGAGGUAAAGGCUCACCAAGGCAACGAUCAGUAGCUGGUCUGAGAGGACGAUCGGCCACACUGGGACGGAGACACGGCCCAGACUCCUACGGGAGGCAGCAGUGGGGAAUUUUGGACAAUGGGGGCAACCCUGAUCCAGCAAUGCCGCGUGAGUGAAGAAGGCCUUCGGGUUGUAAAGCUCUUUUGUCAGGGAAGAAACAGCAGCUCUAAUACAGUAUGCGAAUGACGGUACCUGAAGAAUAAGCACCGGCUAACUACGUGCCAGCCGCCGCCGUAA